UUGCUCUUCAACGAGGAAUCCCUAGUAAGCGCAAGUCAUCAGCUUGCGUUGAUUACGUCCCUGCCCUUUGUACACACCGCCCGUCGCUACUACCGAUUGAAUGGCUCAGUGAGGCUUUCGGACUGGCCCAGAGAGGUGGGCAACUACCACUCAGGGCCGGAAAGUUAUCCAAACUCGGUCAUUUAGAGGAAGUAAAAGUCGUAACAAGGUCUCCGUUGGUGAACCAGCGGAGGGAUCAUUACUGAGUUACCGCUCAUCAACCCUUUGUGAACAUACCUUAACUGUUGCUUCGGCGGGUAGGCGUCCCCUAAAAAGGACGUCUCCCGGCCCUCUCCCGUCCGCGGGUGGGGCGCCCGCCGGAGGAUAACCAAACUCUGAUUUAACGACGUUUCUUCUGGGUGACACAAGCAAAUAAUCAAAACUUUUAACAACGGAUCUCUUGGUUCUGGCAUCGAUGAAGAACGCAGCGAAAUGCGAUAAGUAAUGUGAAUUGCAGAAUUCAGUGAAUCAUCGAAUCUUUGAACGCACAUUGCGCCCCUUGGUAUUCCGGGGGGCAUGCCUGUUCGAGCGUCAUUUCAACCCUCAAGCUCUGCUUGGUAUUGGGCUCCGUCCUCCUCGGACGCGCCUCAAAGACCUCGGCGGUGGCGUCUUGCCUCAAGCGUAGUAGAAAACACCUCGCUUUGGAGCGCACGGCGCCGCCCGCCGGACGAACCUUUGAAUUUUUUCUCAAGGUUGACCUCGGAUCAGGUAGGGAUACCCGCUGAACUUAAGCAUAUCAAUAAGCGGAGGA
Molecule: ribosomal RNA, 790 nt
Filed under: uncultured fungus
Lineage: Eukaryota; Fungi
Description: eukaryotic LSU rRNA
Rfam family: Eukaryotic small subunit ribosomal RNA (bases 1-241)
Source: RNAcentral